Molecule: ribosomal RNA, 351 nt
Filed under: uncultured bacterium
Lineage: Bacteria
Description: bacterial SSU rRNA
Rfam family: Bacterial small subunit ribosomal RNA
Source: RNAcentral
UAGAGUUUGAUCCUGGCUCAGGACGAACGCUGGCGGCGUGCCUAACACAUGCAAGUCGAGCGGGGACAUUUAACGGAUCGGAAGUUUUCGGAUGGAAGUGAAGAUAAAUGUUCUAGCGGCGGACGGGUGAGUAACGCGUGAGCAACCUGUCCUUCACAGGGGGAUAACACAGCGAAAGUUGUACUAAUACCGCAUAAGACCACAACGGGACAUCCCGAAGGGGUCAAAGGAGCAAUCCGGUGAAGGGUGGGCUCGCGUCCGAUUACAUAGCUGGUGAGGUAACGGCCCCCCAGGGCGACGAUCUGUAGCCGAUCUGAGAGGUGAUCGGACCGAUCAUGACUGAUACACGUC